AUUGAACGCUGGCGGCGUGCUUAACACAUGCAAGUCGAUCGGUAACAGGUGUAGCAAUACAUGCUGACGAGAGGCGGACGGGUGAGUAAUGCUUGGGAAUCUGCCUAUUAGUGGGGGACAACCCGGGGAAACUCGGGCUAAUACCGCAUACGCUCUACGGAGGAAAGCCGGGGACCGCAAGGCCUGGCGCUAAUAGAUGAGCCCAAGUCGGAUUAGCUAGUUGGUAGGGUAACGGCCUACCAAGGCGACAAUCCGUAGCUGGUCUGAGAGGACGACCAGCCACACCGGAACCUGAGACACGGUCCGGACUCCUACGGGAGGCAGCAGUGGGGAAUAUUGGACAAUGGGGGCAACCCUGAUCCAGCCAUG
RNAcentral lists this ribosomal RNA (369 nucleotides) under uncultured bacterium. Its description in RNAcentral is "bacterial SSU rRNA". It matches the Rfam family "Bacterial small subunit ribosomal RNA", at positions 30 to 396 of the family's 1533-position model. The record is from RNAcentral.